RNAcentral lists this long non-coding RNA (1352 nucleotides) under Capra hircus (goat). Its description in RNAcentral is "lncRNA (ENSCHIG00010017286.1)". The record is from RNAcentral. Lineage: Eukaryota; Metazoa; Chordata; Mammalia; Artiodactyla; Bovidae.
CACUUUCAAAGAAAAGUCAAAGGGGAAAUGUCAUGGUAAGCUUCUGAACUGAUAUUUCAUAAUAAAUGAGACACUUGUUAGCAAUAUCUUUCCAUUGGCUUUCUCUCCUUACAGUAGUAUAGCAAGCAUAUUGUGUCCUGUAUACUUGAUGAAACUGGAAGCUUGUGCGGCAAAACCUUUUUACUUGGGACCCUCUGCGUAUUCACUCUCUACCUCAGUGCCUCACAUCCAGCAGUUGAUUUAAAAUGAUUCAUUUAUUGUAAAGGUAAAAUUUUUAAAAAUAAUAGUUCAAUCCCUUUUAAAACAAUAUUCUAUUUACUUCAAAUAGUCUCACUGCUAGCACUUGAGCAGUACUUUCUUUACAAGCUUUCCUUUUGAUUGACUAAAUAGUUAUUUCAUGUCUACUUACAAUUUGCUGGUUGCAUUUUCUUUUUGAGCUCACUUCAAGUAAUCUAUAUGGAUUUUUAGCUGAACUUCCAUUCUUCUUGUCAGAGGAUAAAUUAUUGUUCUUACUUGAUAAUGUUCAAUAAGAAUUGAUGUUUUAUAUCUAUUGAUAAAUUUUGGCCUUCAUAUACCUUUAUGCAAAAUCAUUUAAAAAAAUAUAAUGUAAAUCAUUCUCAAAAAUCUCUCAAGAAAAGCUGGUAGAUGAUAUAGUGAGUUGUGAAGGAGAGAAUGAAGGGAUUUAAAGAAUAAAACCAAAUAGCCUUGACCGCAUAUUGCCAGAACAGAGUUUUAGUCAGUUCAAUCUAAAACACAUUAAAUGGCUACAUGAGUUAUAAAUUGUUAAUAAUUAGUUAUCAUUUCUAAUUUUCAACAAAUUCCUCUAACAUUCUUCAUAUAUGAGAAAACAUAGAAUGGUGAGAUCCAUUUCUGAUAAGCAUCUCUCUAUAGGCAGUAUUCAUUAGACCACUGGGCUAAUGUAAUACCAAUAGUGAUAUUUUAUUUCAUGUAUACAAACUUUAUUUUUAUGCAAAAUAGACCAUUAUUUCUGAAACUACCAUCCAUCAGUUACAGGGAGAGAACAUGAAGAUGAUUUAGAAAUUCAUCCCCACUAAAGGAGAAAUAUUGAAAAAUAGUUUAAACCUGUGCCUGCUGGUGCUACAACUGUAGAGCUAUUUCCAUUUGACAAGAUCACCAUGCUGUUUCGGUUACCUGAGAAUUCUGUUUUCUCUUUUAAUAAUUGUCAUUUUAUUCUCCCUUACAUCUAGGCUAGUGUCUCAUACAUGGUAGGUGCCGGGGUCCAGCCCCGGUGGAUCCAGGGAAUUUGAAGGUGGGGGGAUGGAGUUGGCAUCUUUGGAAAACUGCAUAUUUAAUUACAGAUAUAUAGAGAGAUUAGAAACGGAUAGUGUAGU